AGAGUUUGAUCAUGGCUCAGAAUCAACGCUGGCGGCGUGCCUAACACAUGCAAGUCGAACGAGAAAGUCCCGCAAGGGAUGAGUAAAGUGGCGCACGGGUGAGUAACACGUGACUAACCUACCUUCGAGUGGGGAAUAACCUCGGGAAACCGGGGCUAAUACCGCAUAACAUCAUCGGGUGAAAUUCCUGCUGAUCAAAAGUUUUUUGCUUGAAGAGGGGGUCGCGGCUGAUUAGCUAGUUGGUGAGGUGACGGCUCACCAAGGCGAUGAUCAGUAGCCGGCCUGAGAGGGCGCACGGCCACACUGGAACUGAAACACGGUCCAGACUCCUACGGGAGGCAGCAGUGGGGAAUUUUGCGCAAUGGGGGAAACCCUGACGCAGCAACGCCGCGUGGAGGAUGAAGUCCCUUGGGACGUAAACUCCUUUCGAUCGGGACGAAUAAUGACGGUACCGGAAGAAGAAGCCCCGGCUAACUUCGUGCCAGCAGCCGCGGUAAUACGAGGGGGGCAAGCGUUGUUCGGAAUUAUUGGGCGUAAAGGGCGCGUAGGCGGUGCGGAAAGUCUUCAGUGAAAUCUCUGGGCUCAACUCAGAGUCUGCUGGGGAAACUCCCGUGCUUGAGUGUGGGAGAGGUGAGUGGAAUUCCCGGUGUAACGGUGAAAUGCGUAGAUAUCGGGAGGAACACCUGUGGCGAAAGCGGCUCACUGGACCACAACUGACGCUGAUGCGCGAAAGCUAGGGGAGCAAACAGGAUUAGAUACCCUAGUAGUCC
Molecule: ribosomal RNA, 770 nt
Filed under: uncultured bacterium
Lineage: Bacteria
Description: bacterial SSU rRNA
Rfam family: Bacterial small subunit ribosomal RNA
Source: RNAcentral